UACGAAGGGUGCAAGCGUUAGUCGGAAUUACUGGGCGUAAAGCGCGUGUAGGCGGCUUCGUAAGUCCGUUGUGAAAGUCCAGGGCUCAACCCUGGAAGGCCGGUGGAAACUGUCGGACUAGAGUCCGGAAGAGGCGAGUGGAAUUCCCGGUGUAGCGGUGAAAUGCGCAGAUAUCGGGAGGAACACCAAUGGCGAAGGCAGCUCGCUGGGACGGUACUGACGCUGAGGCGCGAAAGCGUGGGGAGCAAACAGG
RNAcentral lists this ribosomal RNA (253 nucleotides) under uncultured bacterium. Its description in RNAcentral is "partial 16S ribosomal RNA". It matches the Rfam family "Bacterial small subunit ribosomal RNA", at positions 524 to 776 of the family's 1533-position model. The record is from RNAcentral.